UUCGGUCAUGUCACGAUGAGGCACCGGUUCUCGUACGAUCACCGCACGUAAGCAACUUCGAGCCUGAUCAAUACUUAGAUGGGUGACCGCUUGGUAAUACUAGGUGCUGUAA
This is a non-coding RNA of Acanthosepion pharaonis, 112 nucleotides long. The record is from the annotation of a GenBank genome assembly. NCBI's taxonomy places the organism in Eukaryota, Metazoa, Mollusca, Cephalopoda, Sepiida, Sepiidae.